This 253-nucleotide ribosomal RNA is filed under the name uncultured prokaryote. Its description in RNAcentral is "partial 16S ribosomal RNA". It matches the Rfam family "Bacterial small subunit ribosomal RNA", at positions 525 to 777 of the family's 1533-position model. The record is from RNAcentral.
ACGUAGGGUCCGAGCGUUGUCCGGAAUUAUUGGGCGUAAAGAGCUCGUAGGCGGUAUGUCGCGUCUACUGUGAAAGACCGGGGCUUAACUUCGGUUUUGCAGUGGAUACGGGCAUGCUGGAGGUAGGUAGGGGAGACUGGAAUUCCUGGUGUAGCGGUGAGAUGCGCAGAUAUCAGGAGGAACACCGGUGGCGAAGGCGGGUCUCUGGGCAGUAACUGACGCUGAGGAGCGAAAGCGUGGGGAGCGAACAGGA